Molecule: non-coding RNA, 69 nt
Organism: Podarcis lilfordi (Lilford's wall lizard)
Lineage: Eukaryota; Metazoa; Chordata; Lepidosauria; Squamata; Lacertidae
Source: the annotation of a GenBank genome assembly
GGUGGUGCAAUGGGUCCAUGCAUCUGGCUGCUAACCGGAAGGUUGGUGGUUCAAGCCCACCCAGGGACA